RNAcentral lists this ribosomal RNA (1350 nucleotides) under uncultured bacterium. Its description in RNAcentral is "bacterial SSU rRNA". It matches the Rfam family "Bacterial small subunit ribosomal RNA", at positions 28 to 1398 of the family's 1533-position model. The record is from RNAcentral.
AACGAACGCUGGCGGCGUGGAUAAGACAUGCAAGUCGAACGAGAGAAUUGCUAGCUUGCUAAUAAUUCUCUAGUGGCGCACGGGUGAGUAACACGUGAGUAACCUGCCCCCGAGAGCGGGAUAGCCCUGGGAAACUGGGAUUAAUACCGCAUAGUAUCGAAAGAUUAAAGCAGCAAUGCGCUUGGGGAUGGGCUCGCGGCCUAUUAGUUAGUUGGUGAGGUAACGGCUCACCAAGGCGAUGACGGGUAGCCGGUCUGAGAGGAUGUCCGGCCACACUGGAACUGAGACACGGUCCAGACACCUACGGGUGGCAGCAGUCGAGAAUCAUUCACAAUGGGGGAAACCCUGAUGGUGCGACGCCGCGUGGGGGAAUGAAGGUCUUCGGAUUGUAAACCCCUGUCAUGUGGGAGCAAAUUAAAAAGAUAGUACCACAAGAGGAAGAGACGGCUAACUCUGUGCCAGCAGCCGCGGUAAUACAGAGGUCUCAAGCGUUGUUCGGAAUCACUGGGCGUAAAGCGUGCGUAGGCUGUUUCGUAAGUCGUGUGUGAAAGGCGCGGGCUCAACCCGCGGACGGCACAUGAUACUGCGAGACUAGAGUAAUGGAGGGGGAACCGGAAUUCUUGGUGUAGCAGUGAAAUGCGUAGAUAUCGAGAGGAACACUCGUGGCGAAGGCGGGUUCCUGGACAUUAACUGACGCUGAGGCACGAAGGCCAGGGGAGCGAAAGAGAUUAGAUACCCCUGUAGUCCUGGCAGUAAACGGUGCACAAAAGGGUGUGCGGGGAAUCGACCCCCUGCGUGCCGGAGCUAACGCGUUAAGCGUGCCGCCUGGGGAGUACGGUCGCAAGAUUAAAACUCAAAGAAAUUGACGGGGACCCGCACAAGCGGUGGAGUAUGUGGCUUAAUUCGAUGCAACGCGAAGAACCUUACCUGGGCUUGACAUGUAAUGAACAACAUGUGAAAGCAUGCGACUCUUCGGAGGCGUUACACAGGUGCUGCAUGGCCGUCGUCAGCUCGUGUCGUGAGAUGUUUGGUUAAGUCCAGCAACGAGCGCAACCCCUGUUGCCAGUUACCAGCACGUGAAGGUGGGGACUCUGGCGAGACUGCCCAGAUCAACUGGGAGGAAGGUGGGGACGACGUCAGGUCAGUAUGGCCCUUAUGCCCAGGGCUGCACACGUACUACAAUGCCCAGUACAGAGGGGGCCGAAGCCGCGAGGCGGAGGAAAUCCUGAAAACUGGGCCCAGUUCGGACUGUAGGCUGCAACCCGCCUACACGAAGCCGGAAUCGCUAGUAAUGGCGCAUCAGCUACGGCGCCGUGAAUACGUUCCCGGGUCUUGUACUCAGCGCCCGUC